UUUGGGGCUAUGGAACAGAAGCACAUCAUCAUACGAAAGCCAAGUAUUACGGCAGAUCCACUUCAAAGAGGAGAUGGAGAUAUCAGUAAGAAAUGAAACAGUCUAAGCUGGGUGGGGAAGUUACUUGAGCUUGUGAAUCAUCGAGUCUAAUAAAUAAAUGAACAAACAACGCUUCUUUUUUUUUUUCAGUAAAUUACCAAACCCUUCCUAAGAUUGAUAAUGCUCUUAAUAAACUGCUGAAAAGGAACUGCAGCCAACUCAAGGUUCUCAGGAAGUAGCCAUCACUGAGCAGACAGGCUGGACUUGACUCAAAGCACAGCCACUAGGGCAGAAAUACCACUCUCCAAAAGAUAUCCAGACAGAAACCCAGAUCGAACGUUGAGACGUAUCUUCCCCUCCCCUUCUCAGGCCAGACGGGUUAGCUGAGGAUAUAAGCUUUCUAGAAAAGGAAGUCUGACAACGACAAACUGAGAAUCAAAGACUGAAUAAUGCAAGAUGCCAAAUAUCUAGAAGACACGCAAUGCAUACUUAAUGACACAAAAAACUCAGAGCCACAGUGAUGCUUCCCUCAGCCACCAGUGGG
RNAcentral lists this long non-coding RNA (583 nucleotides) under Bos taurus (domestic cattle). RNAcentral's name for it is "long non-coding RNA NONBTAT005008". The record is from RNAcentral. Lineage: Eukaryota; Metazoa; Chordata; Mammalia; Artiodactyla; Bovidae.